CAGUCGCCACGGGAAUACGAAGGGGGCUAGCGUUGUUCGGAUUUACUGGGCGUAAAGCGCACGUAGGCGGAUCGAUCAGUCAGGGGUGAAAUCCCAGAGCUCAACUCUGGAACUGCCUUUGAUACUGUCGAUCUGGAGUAUGGAAGAGGUGAGUGGAAUUCCGAGUGUAGAGGUGAAAUUCGUAGAUAUUCGGAGGAACACCAGUGGCGAAGGCGGCUCACUGGUCCAUUACUGACGCUGAGGUGCGAAAGCGUGGGGAGCAAACAGGAUUAGAUACCCGGGUAGUCCCUGUCUCUUAUAC
RNAcentral lists this ribosomal RNA (301 nucleotides) under uncultured bacterium. RNAcentral describes it as "partial 16S ribosomal RNA". It matches the Rfam family "Bacterial small subunit ribosomal RNA", at positions 509 to 807 of the family's 1533-position model. The record is from RNAcentral.